Molecule: long non-coding RNA, 2746 nt
Organism: Haemorhous mexicanus (house finch)
Lineage: Eukaryota; Metazoa; Chordata; Aves; Passeriformes; Fringillidae
Exons: 3
Source: RefSeq, a predicted model, not a curated record
GCCAUAUGAAUCUUUCGUUUGAUCCCUCCCUGGUGCCCUGUCUGUCACUUGGCACUCCCUCCCUUCCCUCUAGAAACUUCUAGCUGGAGCGUCGAGUGAUUGGAUCAGGAACCAGGACCCCUCCCUCAAUGUAUUCCCAUUGGUUUGUCCCUAAUGUCAAUCCCCUGCAUCCCACUCCCCUCUGGUUUCCCAUUCGUCCAGAGGUAGUUUCCUCCCCUGUUUCCCCUGCCCCCUUAAAAGCUGCUGCAUUUCUGGGGUCGGGACUCCAACCGGGAAAAUUUAUUAGAGCCAUUAAAGCCUGAUUAUACCCUCGGCUGGAGUCAGCUCUCUUUCUUUCUGUUGGCUGUUGCUGCGAGCCCCGUCCGAUGCAGGUAGCUGCCUUCACAAUAGCGUGGGGCUGUAUCCCUAGGUGCUGUCUCAGGUGAGACCCGAGAGUGCUUCUGCUGCAAGCAGUGUGCUGGUUGCUUGCCGGGCGAAAGGGGGAGGACAAGCCUCCCCCGGACAGCUUGCUGCUUCAGUUUGGCGCCCAACGUGGGGGCCCGAGGGCAUCCCCGGACCCCACGGACGAGACUUGUGGAUCUUUUAGACUUUGCCUCUGGAUUUCUACUUGGAGCCUUGGCUGGCAAACUACCUUUAGGUUGAGCAGACCCCUUUCUGGUGGGUGGCUCUCCCUGAGGAUCGGGAACGGCAGCUCCUAGCACCCAAAGGAGUCGUUCCUCCAAUAGAACCACUGAACCCAAGUUUUUUUUUGGUCCUCGCCAGAUUUGGGUGCAGCUGACCGAGCCCUUUUACAUCAGAGACACCAACUUCCAUCUUGUGAGCGUGUGUCCAGAGUUGCCAGUGACCCUGACCCAAUGGCUCCAUCCCUCACUGCCUUCACCAUCCUUGUGGCAGUGUUUUGGUCCCUCUUACCACCUUCAGACCCGUGAAUUGUUCCCCAACCCAAAGCGAAUGUCUGGUUGACCCUGGCACAAUUCCUCGGCCAAGAUCACAUCUGUCUAAACACGGCGUCAGCAGAGGACCCUAUGUAGUCCUGCUUUGUGGGAAUCCGGAUCCCUCUCUCUCCAAAUGAAAUCCCUUCUCCCCUCAACGUCACCCUUGCUCCCCUGCUUCCCCAAAAGGUUGCCCGCUCCCCUGGCUUGAACCCAAAAGAUAGAGAAACGGAAUCCGCAGGCUGGUCCCGCUGGAUUCUGAACCCAUAGAAUUCGAAUUGCUCGGCUCCACCAGUGCUUCCCUUUGCUUUCAAUUUAUAUCUUCCCCAAGUCUCCCCAACAAAUCCUAUACGUUUGUACGCCAGUGGAAAAAGCAAUACACUGGUAUCCGCUGGUGUGAAGUAGUGGCACAAAUGGAAAUGGUCUCCAAGAUUUACUACCAACCUUUAACUUUGCUCCAUGGAGUGUUUUUUAAUUGCGGAGACCGAGCAUGGGCAGGCAUCCCCUCUUGCCUGAUAGGAGGCCCUUGCACAUUUGGACAAUUGACGCUGUUUACCCCCAACAAAACCCAAAUUCACAAUUGGAAGAUGAAGAAUGUCACACUCGAUUUGGUCCGUACCAAAAGGGACCUUCAAAAUCUUGAUCCAGAGUGUGACUCUGAAAUUAUUCAUUGGUCAAAGCCAAAAGGGGUUGCGAUCAACGUGUUUUUGCCUUGGGUGUCAGCAGCCAAAGCUCUAGGUGAAUUGGCCCACUUCGAGUGUUGGGUGGCUAAACAAGCCAAUCUUACAUCAACUGCAUUAGCAGACCUCCUAUCUGACGAAGAAAUUACAAGGAAGGCGACGCUCCAAAAUCGAGCCACUCUCGAUUUCCUGCUCCUGCUACACAACCAUCAAUGUGAGGAAUUUGAGGGCCUCUGAUGUCUCAAUUUAUCAUCUAAGGCCGAGGACACAAGAAGUGCUAUCCAGAAAAUGUGAGACAUGGUCUGCGACAUCAAGAAAGAAACAUCUGACUGGCUAGGGGACAUUUUUUCGGGAUGGGAUCUUUCAGGAUGGGCCAGGUCAGUUUUGAAGACUGUAUUUUAUGUUAUCUUAGUUAUUAUUAUUGUUUUAGUUGCUUCUUCAAUUCUCUGGAGAUUGAUCAAAAGACUGAUGAACAAAAUGAUGCUCCCUCCAAGUGUCAACCAAGUGGUGAGCCUUGAAAUAGAAGAACCAUCGGCUGAAGAAGUCCAGCGGGCUUCUGCCCCAAUGAGCCAUUCCUUGUUUGGGGACAUUUAUCAAGACUCAGAGUUUAACAACCAAGUUCAGUUUACCUCCUUUUGAUUUUUUAUUUUUAAAACAAAAAAGGAGGAGAUGUUGUGUUGUGUUAGGUUGUUCUGUUCCCCUCUCAGUUUGUAUGUUGGAUUGUUCUGUUUCCCCCCCUUAGUUGCAAUGGUUCAAGCCUAGUUCAUUCUGCCCUCCUCCCCACUGCCUGUCAUCCCUGCUCCACUUCCACCCCCCCCCCCCAGCCAUAUGAAUCUUUCCUUUGAUCCCUCCCUGGUGCCCUGGCUGUCACUUGGCACUCCCUCCCUUCCCUCUAGAAACUUCUAGCUGGAGUGUCGAGUGAUUGGAUCAGGAACCAGGACCCCUCCCUCGAUGUAUUCCCGUUGGUCUGUCCCUAAUGUCAAUCCCUGCAUCCCACUCCCCGCUGGUUUCCCAUUCGUCCAGAGGUAGUUUCCUCCCCUAUUUCCUCUGCCCCCUUAAAAGCUGCUGCAUUUCUGGGGUCGGGACUCCAACCGGGAAAAUUUAUUAGAGCCAUAAAAGCCUGAUUAUACCCUC